This 427-nucleotide ribosomal RNA is filed under the name uncultured bacterium. RNAcentral describes it as "partial 16S ribosomal RNA". It matches the Rfam family "Bacterial small subunit ribosomal RNA", at positions 355 to 774 of the family's 1533-position model. The record is from RNAcentral.
UGGGGAAUAUUGCACAAUGGGCGCAAGCCUGAUGCAGCCAUGCCGCGUGUGUGAAGAAGGCCUUCGGGUUGUAAAGCACUUUCAGCGAGGAGGAAGGGUAGUGUGUUAAUAGCACAUUGCAUUGACGUUACUCGCAGAAGAAGCACCGGCUAACUCCGUGCCAGCAGCCGCGGUAAUACGGAGGGUGCAAGCGUUAAUCGGAAUUACUGGGCGUAAAGCGCACGCAGGCGGUUUGUUAAGUCAGAUGUGAAAUCCCCGCGCUUAACGUGGGAACUGCAUUUGAAACUGGCAAGCUAGAGUCUUGUAGAGGCGGGUAGAAUUCCAGGUGUAGCGGUGAAAUGCGUAGAGAUCUGGAGGAAUACCGGUGGCGAAGGCGGUCCCCUGGACAAAGACUGACGCUCAGGUGCGAAAGCGUGGGGAGCAAACA